This 420-nucleotide ribosomal RNA is filed under the name uncultured diatom. Its description in RNAcentral is "SSU rRNA". It matches the Rfam family "Bacterial small subunit ribosomal RNA", at positions 482 to 900 of the family's 1533-position model. Lineage: Eukaryota; Bacillariophyta. The record is from RNAcentral.
AGGAAUAAGCAUCGGCUAACUCCGUGCCAGCAGCCGCGGUAAGACGGAGGAUGCAAGUGUUAUCCGGAAUCACUGGGCGUAAAGCGUCUGUAGGUGGUUUAAUAAGUCAACUGUUAAAUCUUGAGGCCCAACCUCGAAAUCGCAGUCGAAACUAUUAGACUAGAGUAUAGUAGGGGUAAAGGGAAUUUCCAGUGGAGCGGUGAAAUGCGUAGAGAUUGGAAAGAACACCGAUGGCGAAGGCACUUUACUGGGCUAUUACUAACACUCAGAGACGAAAGCUAGGGUAGCAAAUGGGAUUAGAUACCCCAGUAGUCCUAGCCGUAAACAAUGGAUACUAGAUGUUGAACAGAUCGACCUGUGCAGUAUUAAAGCUAACGCGUUAAGUAUCCCGCCUGGGAAGUAUGCUCGCAAGAGUGAAAC